Molecule: long non-coding RNA, 1083 nt
Organism: Saccostrea cuccullata (small rock oyster)
Lineage: Eukaryota; Metazoa; Mollusca; Bivalvia; Ostreida; Ostreidae
Exons: 6
Source: RefSeq, a predicted model, not a curated record
GCAGUUAUUUUUUUUCAAUGUCUUUUUUAUUAUUUAAAAUAAUUAUCUGAGUAAAUUCUAUUUUAACAUGAUUAUUUUAAAGGUAUUACAUCACAAAUGCUUAAAAAAUUCAAAAGAUGGUGUUAAGAAUAAAAAAAUUAUGAUGUAAGCUACUAGAUGCAUUUAUCAAUAUGUUUUAAUACAAUAAAAUGUAUUUCAGCGAUGCAUUCUCAAGAAGGAAGAGAUUAAUGAACACUACCCUCUUACAAUGAACAACACAUGGAUACUCUCGGGAUGAUCCCUUUGCUUUCAUUAAGAGUUCCAAGAUGUGGGUCUGAUUGACUGGGGUGUGAAAUGUAACAGCCAAUGGUGUACUUAAGGUAAGACUGUCAGUCCCAAUAUUCAAGAGGAAAACCCCCUACAUAAACAAAUACAUGGGCGCAGACAUUUUGGACACCCAACGUUGCGCGGAGGAGAAAAUACUAGCUGGCGCGUGAUUGGUCGAUAAGAGAAGAGAAUUGUUAUGUAUUUGACAAGUGAAAUAAAGUUGAUAAAAAUGUCAUAUCAAGACUUGGGUUUCUUUGAGGUAUAUAGGAGUUACAGCGAUGCAUUCUCAAGAAGGAAGAGAUUAAUGAACACUACCCUCUUACAAUGAACAACACAUGGAUACUCUCGGGAUGAUCCCUUUGCUUUCAUUAAGAGUUCCAAGAUGUGGGUCUGAUUGACUGGGGUGUGAAAUGUAACAGCCAAUGGUGUACUUAAGGUAAGACUGUCAGUCCCAAUAUUCAAGAGGAAAACCCCCUACAUAAACAAAUACAUGGGCGCAGACAUUUUGGACACCCAACGUUGCGCGGAGGAGAAAAUACUAGCUGGCGCGUGAUUGGUCGAUAAGAGAAGAGAAUUGUUAUGUAUUUGACAAGUGAAAUAAAGUUGAUAAAAAUGUCAUAUCAAGACUUGGGUUUCUUUGAGGUAUAUAGGAGUUACAGGUAAAAAUUUGAAGGGAGGGAUGCACUUUGGUUAGAGAUUUUCAUUUGGUGUCAAACGCACCUAGUUGUAAACAAAUGGAAAUUGAAAGUAAAAGUGCAACGGCACGGUAUAUUUUUU